This 1376-nucleotide long non-coding RNA is filed under the name Cricetulus griseus (Chinese hamster). Its description in RNAcentral is "lncRNA (ENSCGRG00015034199.1)". The record is from RNAcentral. Lineage: Eukaryota; Metazoa; Chordata; Mammalia; Rodentia; Cricetidae.
CUAUUAUGCUUCAUAUAGAAGCAUAAAGACACAGAUAGCCAAAACAAUCCUGAACAACAAAAGCACUUCUGUAGGUAUCUCCACAUCUGAUUUCCAGAUGACUACAGAGCCAUAGUGGUAAAAUAGCACAGAACAUACAAAAACAGGCACACCAAUCGAUGGAGUAGACUCAGGGACCCAGAUGAAAGCCCAGAAACACCUGAUUUUGUUUGUUGGUUUGGUUUGGUUUUUCAAGAAAGGGUAGAACCCUGGCUGUCCUGAAACUUGCUUUGUUUUUCUUUUGGUUUUGUUUUGUUGUUGUUGUUUUGUUUGGUUUUUGGAUUUUUCGAGACAGGGUUUCUCUGUUUUGCUUUGUAUACCAGGCCGGCCAAAAUCCGCCUGUCUUUGCCUCUGGAGUGCUGGAAUUAAAAGUGUACACCACCACUGCCUGGCUGUCACCUGUUUUUGACAUGUGUGAAAAGCAUACACAAGAGAAAAGACAACAUCUUUAACAAUGGUGCUGGUGAAACUGGAUCUCAAUGUGUAUGCUUUGGCCUCUUACCCUGAACACAAGUCAAUUCCAAAUGCAUCAAAGACUUCAGUUUUAGCACUGAAACUCUGAAACUUCUAGAAGAAAGAGAAGGGAUUAUACUUCAGGUUAUAGGUUCAGGAGCAUUCUUCUUGACCAGUCUCCCAGGCCAAAACCUUCACCUCUAGGGCUGACCAGGCAGAAGGUGCCAACACUACUCUCUGACCUUCUCAGCAAGUGUUUAGGGCACAAGGAGGACACCAGCCAAGUCACAGGAACAGUGGAGUCCCAGCAUCAGAAACACUCCUGACCUCUGCUCCAAACCUUUGGGCUCAAGGUCACCCCUGCUGAGCAUCAGGGACACCAUGAGGACUCUGGAUUCGAAUCCUGCCCUAAUGGUGCUUUGUGUGGUUCUCGGGAAGUUACAAGUGCGAUUAGCAUACAUUUCUUACUCCGAAAAUGUGAAACUUGUAACAUCCACUUUGUGUGUGCAUGUGUAUACACCUGUGUCGCCGCCAGAGGUCAACUCCAACUGCGGUUUUCAGGUGCCAUCUUCUCUUUUUGUCUGUUUGAAAAAGGGUCAUUGCUUUGCUGGAGCUCACUGAUUUGCCUAGUCUGGCUGGCCAGAGUCCUAGGAUCCUCCUGCCUCUCCCACUCCAGCACCAUGAUUACAAGCACAUGUCACUACACCAGGCUUGACUUUUUUCAGUUCUAGCCAUUGAAUCAAGUCUGCUUGCUCCCAAAACAAGCACUUUACUGAGUGUACUAUCUCCCCAGCCCAACCUGGUUCUUUUUUUUUAAAGUAUCAUUAAUAUUUUCUAGUUAUAUGUGUGUAUAUAUGGGGGUACGUAAAUGUGAGCACAGGUGC